UGAACAUAGGAUCAGUUUAUAAAUGUAGC
Molecule: non-coding RNA, 29 nt
Filed under: Bombyx mori (domestic silkworm)
Lineage: Eukaryota; Metazoa; Arthropoda; Insecta; Lepidoptera; Bombycidae
Source: RNAcentral